GUCCAUGGGAAACCCUUGCAAAAUCAUUUUAUUGACCAUCUUAGAAAGCCUCUUUGUAUUGCUUGCAUACUGAUUGUCUAGUCCUGUGCUUUGAGGGCAGCUUCAAUUCAAUUUUGCCAAGGAGAUACAUUCGCAUUUUGCUGACAGUGAUUAUUAGUUAUUGCAGUUCUUCACUGAGCAAGAUGGAUUUCAUAGGGGUUGGACAGCCCUCCCCAAGCUCAGUCUCAGGCCAUGAUGGUACUUCUUCGUCUUAAAAAAAGAAAAUCCUUAUCUUAUGUGAGGAGUUACAAUUGUUGCAGUGGACCAGAGGAAUAGUGGUAUUUAUUUAAUUACCUUCACAAUAUCAACUACAGUUGGAAGUAGGAUUCUGAAUGAUAUAAGAUGAAGCCAAGAACAUGAUCUUCUCUUCAUGGAAAAUUCGAAUCUUUCCGACUCUGAAUGCAUGAAGAUCAGUAAGACAUCAACACUUUGACAAAUGUCUAUUCCAUGGAAGUCUUCAAAUGGAGCUUCAGUUUCAGGACAUUUUUUUUGAUCUGGAAGUAUAAGACACGCUGCCUGAUUCCAUGCACGAAAUGCCAUGAUAGCGAAAGAAGGGUAGGGAGUCAUGAAUAAACACCCAAUUAUAUCACUUCAUUCAUACAAGCCAAGAUGCAGUACCGAAAAUUCUGGUGAAUUUCUUCAUCUAGCCGAGUUCUACAAGCUGACUUCAGGAGGCACUUUGACGACUCUAGCACAGAUGUGUGGGAAGCAAGCUGAACGUGCUGGAUUCACAACAGUUCUGCAUCAUCAGGGUAGCUCCAGGCAGGGGGAGCUUGCAGUGUGCUGCUGCAUAAAGCACUCAGCCCCAGUUCCCCUCCUUUGCUUCGUGUUUUCUGGUGUGAGUUCACACACAUCCCCAGCUCUUCCCUCUGAUUAA
RNAcentral lists this long non-coding RNA (916 nucleotides) under Numida meleagris (helmeted guineafowl). Its description in RNAcentral is "lncRNA (ENSNMEG00000017313.1)". Lineage: Eukaryota; Metazoa; Chordata; Aves; Galliformes; Numididae. The record is from RNAcentral.